GAUGAACGCUGGCGGCGUGCCUAAUACAUGCAAGUCGAGCGAACGGACGAGAAGCUUGCUUCUCUGAUGUUAGCGGCGGACGGGUGAGUAACACGUGGAUGACCUACCUAUAAGACUGGGAUAACUUCGGGAAACCGGAGCUAAUACCGGAUAAUAUUUUGAACCGCAUGGUUCAAAAGUGAAAGACGGUCUUGCUGUCACUUAUAGAUGGAUCAGCGCUGCAUUAGCUAGUUGGUAAGGUAACGGCUUACCAAGGCAACGAUGCAUAGCCGACCUGAGAGGGUGAUCGGCCACACUGGAACUGAGACACGGUCCAGACUCCUACGGGAGGCAGCAGUAGGGAAUCUUCCGCAAUGGGCGAAAGCCUGACGGAGCAACGCCGCGUGAGUGAUGAAGGUCUUCGGAUCGUAAAACUCUGUUAUUAGGGAAGAACAUAUGUGUAAGUAACUGUGCACAUCUUGACGGUACCUAAUCAGAAAGCCACGGCUAACUACGUG
Molecule: ribosomal RNA, 497 nt
Filed under: uncultured bacterium
Lineage: Bacteria
Description: partial 16S ribosomal RNA
Rfam family: Bacterial small subunit ribosomal RNA
Source: RNAcentral